This 253-nucleotide ribosomal RNA is filed under the name uncultured bacterium. RNAcentral describes it as "partial 16S ribosomal RNA". It matches the Rfam family "Bacterial small subunit ribosomal RNA", at positions 524 to 776 of the family's 1533-position model. The record is from RNAcentral.
UACGUAGGGGGCAAGCGUUGUCCGGAAUCAUUGGGCGUAAAGCGCGUGUAGGCGGCUAGAUAAGUCUGCUGUGAAAGCCCGGGGCUCAACCUCGGGAGGCGGGUGGAUACUGUCUAGCUCGAGUCCGGAAGAGGAGUGUGGAAUUCCUGGUGUAGCGGUGAAAUGCGCAGAUAUCAGGAGGAACACCAAUGGCGAAGGCAGCACUCUGGGACGUGACUGACGCUGAGACGCGAAAGCGUGGGGAGCAAACAGG